UACGUAGGGGGCUAGCGUUGUUCGGAUUUAUUGGGCGUAAAGAGCGUGUAGGCGGCCUGGUAGGUCAGCUGUGAAAACUCGAGGCUCAACCUCGAGACGCCGGUUGAAACCAUCAGGCUAGAGUCCGGAAGAGGAGAGUGGAAUUCCCGGUGUAGCGGUGAAAUGCGCAGAUAUCGGGAAGAACACCCGUGGCUAAGGCGGCUCUCUAGUACGGUACUGACGCUGAGACGCGAAAGCGUGGGGAGCGAACAGG
This 253-nucleotide ribosomal RNA is filed under the name uncultured bacterium. Its description in RNAcentral is "partial 16S ribosomal RNA". It matches the Rfam family "Bacterial small subunit ribosomal RNA", at positions 524 to 776 of the family's 1533-position model. The record is from RNAcentral.